UCGACGUCUGAUUGUCUUUGAUCAUUCUCAACACGGUUUGAGACUGGUUGUAUAUAGAAUUAUUUCCACCUUGGAAGUUGGAACAUGAUAUGCCAACCGGCUAAUAGGAUGUGAACACAUUAAGCAUCCAGGUAGGGAUAGCUGAACGUGAGGCAUGGUCCGGGAUUAGAUAGGUCAGUAUCUAUGCCUGCCUUCAAACUAAAAACCUUGUACGAUAUCUGCCCUAUACCUACCUUAGAUCAUAUCGGAUCACCUUGGCUCAGAUAAUUAUAGUUUAUAGGUAUAAUUAAUGAGAUCACAACUGUUAUACAAAUACGAAAACCUUAUAGC
RNAcentral lists this long non-coding RNA (330 nucleotides) under Elaeis guineensis (African oil palm). RNAcentral describes it as "long non-coding RNA (EGUI_LNC021077)". The record is from RNAcentral. Lineage: Eukaryota; Viridiplantae; Streptophyta; Magnoliopsida; Arecales; Arecaceae.